AUAAGCGCCGGUAAGGUGAUAUGAACCGUUAUAACCGGCGAUACCCGAAUGGGGAAACCCAGUGUGAUUCGUCACACUAUCAUUAACUGAAUCCAUAGGUUAAUGAGGCGAACCGGGGGAACUGAAACAUCUAAGUACCCCGAGGAAAAGAAAUCAACCGAGAUUCCCCCAGUAGCGGCGAGCGAACGGGGAGGAGCCCAGAGCCUGAAUCAGCAUGUGUGUUAGUGGAAGCGUCUGGAAAGGCGCGCGAUACAGGGUGACAGCCCCGUACACAAAAGCGCAUGUGCUGUGAGCUCGAUGAGUAGGGCGGGACACGUGGUAUCCUGUCUGAAUAUGGGGGGACCAUCCUCCAAGGCUAAAUACUCCUGACUGACCGAUAGUGAACCAGUACCGUGAGGGAAAGGCGAAAAGAACCCCGGCGAGGGGAGUGAAAAAGAACCUGAAACCGUGUACGUACAAGCAGUGGGAGCACAGGUUUACCUGUGUGACUGCGUACCUUUUGUAUAAUGGGUCAGCGACUUAUAUUCUGUAGCAAGGUUAACCGAAUAGGGGAGCCGGAGGGAAACCGAGUCUUAAUUGGGCGUUAAGUUGCAGGGUAUAGACCCGAAACCCGGUGAUCUAGCCAUGGGCAGGUUGAAGGUUGGGUAACACUAACUGGAGGACCGAACCGACUAAUGUUGAAAAAUUAGCGGAUGACCUGUGGCUGGGGGUGAAAGGCCAAUCAAACCGGGAGAUAGCUGGUUCUCCCCGAAAGCUAUUUAGGUAGCGCCUCGUGAAUUCAUCUCCGGGGGUAGAGCACUGUUUCGGCUAGGGGGCCAUCCCGGCUUACCAACCCGAUGCAAACUGCGAAUACCGGAGAAUGUUAUCACGGGAGACACACGGCGGGUGCUAACGUCCGUCGUGAAGAGGGAAACAACCCAGACCGCCAGCUAAGGUCCCAAAGUCAUGGUUAAGUGGGAAACGAUGUGGGAAGGCCCAGACAGCCAGGAUGUUGGCUUAGAAGCAGCCAUCAUUUAAAGAAAGCGUAAUAGCUCACUGGUCGAGUCGGCCUGCGCGGAAGAUGUAACGGGGCUAAACCAUGCACCGAAGCUGCGGCAGCGACACUGUGUGUUGUUGGGUAGGGGAGCGUUCUGUAAGCCUGCGAAGGUGGCCUGUGAGGGUUGCUGGAGGUAUCAGAAGUGCGAAUGCUGACAUAAGUAACGAUAAAGCGGGUGAAAAGCCCGCUCGCCGGAAGACCAAGGGUUCCUGUCCAACGUUAAUCGGGGCAGGGUGAGUCGACCCCUAAGGCGAGGCCGAAAGGCGUAGUCGAUGGGAAACGGGUUAAUAUUCCCGUACUUGGUGUUACUGCGAAGGGGGGACGGAGAAGGCUAUGUUGGCCGGGCGACGGUUGUCCCGGUUUAAGCGUGUAGGUGUGUGUUCCAGGUAAAUCCGGUUCACUUUAACACUGAGGCGUGACGACGAGGCACUACGGUGCUGAAGCAACAAAUGCCCUGCUUCCAGGAAAAGCCUCUAAGCAUCAGGUAACAUCAAAUCGUACCCCAAACCGACACAGGUGGUCAGGUAGAGAAUACCAAGGCGCUUGAGAGAACUCGGGUGAAGGAACUAGGCAAAAUGGUGCCGUAACUUCGGGAGAAGGCACGCUGACACGUAGGUGAAGUGAUUUACUCAUGGAGCUGAAGUCAGUCGAAGAUACCAGCUGGCUGCAACUGUUUAUUAAAAACACAGCACUGUGCAAACACGAAAGUGGACGUAUACGGUGUGACGCCUGCCCGGUGCCGGAAGGUUAAUUGAUGGGGUCAGCGCAAGCGAAGCUCCUGAUCGAAGCCCCGGUAAACGGCGGCCGUAACUAUAACGGUCCUAAGGUAGCGAAAUUCCUUGUCGGGUAAGUUCCGACCUGCACGAAUGGCGUAAUGAUGGCCAGGCUGUCUCCACCCGAGACUCAGUGAAAUUGAACUCGCUGUGAAGAUGCAGUGUACCCGCGGCAAGACGGAAAGACCCCGUGAACCUUUACUAUAGCUUGACACUGAACAUUGAGCCUUGAUGUGUAGGAUAGGUGGGAGGCUUUGAAGUGUGGACGCCAGUCUGCAUGGAGCCGACCUUGAAAUACCACCCUUUAAUGUUUGAUGUUCUAACGUGGACCCGUUACCCGGGUUGCGGACAGUGUCUGGUGGGUAGUUUGACUGGGGCGGUCUCCUCCUAAAGAGUAACGGAGGAGCACGAAGGUUGGCUAAUCCUGGUCGGACAUCAGGAGGUUAGUGCAAUGGCAUAAGCCAGCUUGACUGCGAGCGUGACGGCGCGAGCAGGUGCGAAAGCAGGUCAUAGUGAUCCGGUGGUUCUGAAUGGAAGGGCCAUCGCUCAACGGAUAAAAGGUACUCCGGGGAUAACAGGCUGAUACCGCCCAAGAGUUCAUAUCGACGGCGGUGUUUGGCACCUCGAUGUCGGCUCAUCACAUCCUGGGGCUGAAGUAGGUCCCAAGGGUAUGGCUGUUCGCCAUUUAAAGUGGUACGCGAGCUGGGUUUAGAACGUCGUGAGACAGUUCGGUCCCUAUCUGCCGUGGGCGCUGGAGAACUGAGGGGGGCUGCUCCUAGUACGAGAGGACCGGAGUGGACGCAUCACUGGUGUUCGGGUUGUCAUGCCAAUGGCACUGCCCGGUAGCUAAAUGCGGAAGAGAUAAGUGCUGAAAGCAUCUAAGCACGAAACUUGCCCCGAG
This 2710-nucleotide ribosomal RNA is filed under the name Salmonella enterica subsp. enterica serovar Enteritidis. RNAcentral describes it as "partial 23S ribosomal RNA". It matches the Rfam family "Bacterial large subunit ribosomal RNA". Lineage: Bacteria; Pseudomonadati; Pseudomonadota; Gammaproteobacteria; Enterobacterales; Enterobacteriaceae. The record is from RNAcentral.